CGCUCUUUGAUUAUUUUAUAUAAAGAGUCGAGCCUGCCCAGUGAUUUUAUUUAACGGCCGCGGUACUCUGACCGUGCAAAGGUAGCAUAAUCAUUUGCCUUAUAAUUGAAGGCUAGAAUGAAUGGUUUGACAAGAAUAGUACUGUCUCCAUAUAAAUUUUAUAAAAUUUGGUUUUUAGGUGAAGAAACCUAAAUGGUAUUGAAAGACAAGAAGACCCUAUCGAGCUUAAAAUAAUUUAUUUGAAAUUUGUUAAUAUCAGCUUCAGGUAAAAAUUUUGGUUGGGGCGACUAAGGAAUAUAAAAAGCUUCCUAUAAAAUUUAGAAACUUUUAUGUUUUGAUCCAAAAAUUUUGAUUAACAGAAUUAGUUACCGUAGGGAUAACAGCAUAAUCUUUUUUGAGAGUUCUUAUCGAAAAAAAGGUUUGUGACCUCGAUGUUGGACUAGGAUAUCCAGAAAGGUGCAGAAGCCUUCAAUGGUUGGUCUGUUCGACCAUUAAUAUCCUACA
This 504-nucleotide ribosomal RNA is filed under the name Josefus aitanica. Its description in RNAcentral is "partial large subunit ribosomal RNA". It matches the Rfam family "Bacterial large subunit ribosomal RNA", at positions 1817 to 2600 of the family's 2925-position model. Lineage: Eukaryota; Metazoa; Mollusca; Gastropoda; Littorinimorpha; Hydrobiidae. The record is from RNAcentral.